RNAcentral lists this unclassified non-coding RNA (337 nucleotides) under soil metagenome. Its description in RNAcentral is "partial contains 5.8S ribosomal RNA, internal transcribed spacer 2, and large subunit ribosomal RNA". The stretch from base 1 to 120 matches the Rfam family "5.8S ribosomal RNA", at positions 35 to 154 of the family's 154-position model. The record is from RNAcentral.
GAUGAAGAACGUAGCGAAAUGCGAUAAGUAGUGUGAAUUGCAGAAUUCAGUGAAUCAUCGAAUCUUUGAACGCACAUUGCGCCCCUUGGUAUUCCAUGGGGCAUGCCUGUUCGAGCGUCAUUUGUACCUUCAAGCUCUGCUUGGUGUUGGGUGUUUGUCUCGCCUCUGCGUGUAGACUCGCCUUAAAACAAUUGGCAGCCGGCGUAUUGAUUUCGGAGCGCAGUACAUCUCGCGCUUUGCACUCAUAACGACGAUGUCCAAAAGUACAUUUUUACACUCUUGACCUCGGAUCAGGUAGGGAUACCCGCUGAACUUAAGCAUAUCAAUAAGCGGAGGA